CCUACGGGAGGCAGCAGUGGGGAAUAUUGGACAAUGGGGGCAACCCUGAUCCAGCCAUGCCGCGUGUGUGAAGAAGGCCCUCGGGUUGUAAAGCACUUUCAGUGAGGAAGAACGCCUGGUGGUUAAUACCCAUCAGGAAAGACAUCACUCACAGAAGAAGCACCGGCUAACUCAGUGCCAGCAGUCGCGGUAAUACGGAGGGUGCGAGCGUUAAUCGGAAUUACUGGGCGUAAAGCGCGCGUAGGUGGCUUGAUAAGCCGGUUGUGAAAGCCCCGGGCUCAACCUGGGAACGGCAUCCGGAACUGUCAAGCUAGAGUGCAGGAGAGGAAGGUAGAAUUCCCGGUGUAGCGGUGAAAUGCGUAGAGAUCGGGAGGAAUACCAGUGGCGAAGGCGGCCUUCUGGACUGACACUGACACUGAGGUGCGAAAGCGUGGGUAGCAAACAGGAUUAGAUACCCUUGUAGUC
Molecule: ribosomal RNA, 465 nt
Filed under: Vreelandella stevensii
Lineage: Bacteria; Pseudomonadati; Pseudomonadota; Gammaproteobacteria; Oceanospirillales; Halomonadaceae
Description: partial 16S ribosomal RNA
Rfam family: Bacterial small subunit ribosomal RNA
Source: RNAcentral